CUGAGAACAACAUCCAUAAGAGACACAGGUCUCCUGUAGCACAGACUGUCUCCCAGUUGGAUGACCUCCAACUCCUGAUCUCCCUACAUGGUGGGACUGCAGGCCUGCAUCGCCACUGUGAACCUCCACUGUUGAUGGAAAUGCCACUGCAAGGGCCUCAGUCGUGUGGGAAAGUCACCUCAUGCUUCAAGAAACAGAAAGAAGUUUUGGGGCACCUCCUUGUUUGGCUUCACUAUUUUGACUCAAAAUAGUCUCUGCAGCCAGGUGGCAUGCUCUUAACUCCUUCGGUGGGAAGGAAACAGUGGGAAACAAUGUCUGAUUUUUUGAGGGGAAACCCUGUGUUUUCUCAAGCCUUUGUUUUGGGUUUGUUUUAACUGCACCUGCAUUUCUUGCAGUGGUUUUUCACAAAGAAACUUCCUUUCCAGGGUCACAAUUUUUCAACUCAUGUUCUUGCCCCCAGCAGGGAAAUGUUGUCAAACUCAGCCUUUGUUAGCCCACCGACAUUGUUCCGCUGACAUUGAUGGAAAUAGUCAUUUCCUUUGGGAAGCCUUUGCCAUGGAAACAAACUUGGAGCUUGGAUCUGAAUGUCUGAGUGAGAUGCAGUCCUCGGGUGCUACAGCUUCUAAUGGCUGCCAGCCCUUUGUCGAAGAGCUAUCGAAGUUAAGGUCUGCAGGACGGGGCAAAGGAACACUGGCUUGGCUGAUGCUAAGGGGCGAGGCAGAACAGGGUCGGGGCACAGAUCCUUACUGCUGGGAUAUCUGGAUUUUCAAGUCUCC
This 776-nucleotide long non-coding RNA is filed under the name Cricetulus griseus (Chinese hamster). RNAcentral describes it as "lncRNA (ENSCGRG00015042981.1)". The record is from RNAcentral. Lineage: Eukaryota; Metazoa; Chordata; Mammalia; Rodentia; Cricetidae.